CCCUUAGAUGUCCUGGGCCGCACGCGCGCUACACUGAGUGUCUGAGAUACGAGUCUGCCUGGUCCGGCAAGGUCUAGGUAAUCGCUAAAAGACACAUCAUGCUUGGGAUAGAUUAUUGCAAAUAUUAAUCUUGAACGAGGAAUUCCUAGUAAGCGCAAGUCAACAGCUUGCGUUGAUUACGUCCCUACCCUUUGUACACACCGCCCGUCGCUACUACUGAUUGGAUGUUUAAGCGAGGUUCUCGAACUGCUAGCGACUUAGCUUCGGUGAGGUCGCAGUGUGGGAAGUGAACCUAGCUUUGGUGUCUAGAGGAAGUAAAAGUCGUAACA
This 329-nucleotide ribosomal RNA is filed under the name uncultured eukaryote. RNAcentral's name for it is "partial 18S ribosomal RNA". It matches the Rfam family "Eukaryotic small subunit ribosomal RNA", at positions 1470 to 1796 of the family's 1831-position model. The record is from RNAcentral.